UUGAACGCUGGCGGCAGGCCUAACACAUGCAAGUCGAGCGGAUGAAGGGAGCUUGCUCCUGGAUUCAGCGGCGGACGGGUGAGUAAUGCCUAGGAAUCUGCCUGGUAGUGGGGGAUAACGUCCAGAAACGGGCGCUAAUACCGCAUACGUCCUGAGGGAGAAAGUGGGGGAUCUUCGGACCUCACGCUAUCAGAUGAGCCUAGGUCGGAUUAGCUAGUUGGUGGGGUAAAGGCCUACCAAGGCGACGAUCCGUAACUGGUCUGAGAGGAUGAUCAGUCACACUGGAACUGAGACACGGUCCAGACUCCUACGGGAGGCAGCAGUGGGGAAUAUUGGACAAUGGGCGAAAGCCUGAUCCAGCCAUGCCGCGUGUGUGAAGAAGGUCUUCGGAUUGUAAAGCACUUUAAGUUGGGAGGAAGGGCAGUAAGUUAAUACCUUGCUGUUUUGACGUUACCAACAGAAUAAGCACCGGCUAACUUCGUG
RNAcentral lists this ribosomal RNA (483 nucleotides) under uncultured bacterium. RNAcentral's name for it is "partial 16S ribosomal RNA". It matches the Rfam family "Bacterial small subunit ribosomal RNA", at positions 30 to 507 of the family's 1533-position model. The record is from RNAcentral.